AUAGAUUACUCUUCAACAAUCUAAUUCGCCAGAGUACUACGGACAACAGUCUAAAACUCAAAGGACUUGGCGGUGCUUCACAUCCCUCUAGAGGAGCCUGUCCUGUAAUCGAUAAACCCCGAUAAACCUCACCAGUCCUUGCUAAUCCAGCCUAUAUACCGCCAUCCUCAGCAAACCCUAAAAAGGAACUACAGUAAGCGCAAACACCAAACGCAAAAACGUUAGGUCAAGGUGUAGCCCAUGGACUGGAAAGAGAUGGGCUACAUUUUCUUGUCCAAGAACAUAACCAACUAACGGAUACUCUUGUGAAAACCAAGAGUGUAAGGAGGAUUUAGUAGUAAGCCAAGAACAGAGAGCUUGACUGAAU
This 367-nucleotide ribosomal RNA is filed under the name Lyroderma lyra (Indian false vampire). Its description in RNAcentral is "partial 12S ribosomal RNA". It matches the Rfam family "Bacterial small subunit ribosomal RNA", at positions 848 to 1367 of the family's 1533-position model. The record is from RNAcentral. Lineage: Eukaryota; Metazoa; Chordata; Mammalia; Chiroptera; Megadermatidae.